UACGUAGGGUGCGAGCGUUAAUCGGAAUUACUGGGCGUAAAGCGUGCGCAGGCGGUUUUGUAAGCCAGGUGUGAAAUCCCCGGGCUCAACCUGGGAAUGGCAUUUGGGACUGCAAGGCUGGAGUGCGGCAGAGGAGACUGGAAUUCCUGGUGUAGCAGUGAAAUGCGUAGAUAUCAGGAGGAACACCGAUGGCGAAGGCAGGUCUCUGGGCUGACACUGACGCUCAUGCACGAAAGCGUGGGGAGCA
Molecule: ribosomal RNA, 247 nt
Filed under: uncultured bacterium
Lineage: Bacteria
Description: partial 16S ribosomal RNA
Rfam family: Bacterial small subunit ribosomal RNA
Source: RNAcentral